This is a long non-coding RNA of Chelmon rostratus (copperband butterflyfish), 277 nucleotides long. RefSeq lists it as uncharacterized. The transcript has 3 exons. Lineage: Eukaryota; Metazoa; Chordata; Actinopteri; Chaetodontiformes; Chaetodontidae. The record is from RefSeq and is a predicted model, not a curated record.
GAGAAGCUGAAGGAGUUUAGAGGAGACGCAGGAAGACGCUUGUUUUGCUUCUUCGUCUCCAGAGAGCCGAGACGUUUGGAUAAUGAGGCCUCAGGAACACUUCACCUGUCGCUCGGAGUCAGAGAGUCACAGUGAUCAGCUCACCUGUUCACGACUGAUCACAGGUGCAAAGACUGCUGGGAAAAGUGCUGGUCCUGUCUCCAUGAAACCUGAAGGUUGUAGCGUGGGCGGAGGAAGACUCGCGGCGGACGCUUGGGUUAACGCUGCGUGAUGAGGC